Non-coding RNA from Pantherophis guttatus, 407 nucleotides. The record is from RefSeq and is a predicted model, not a curated record. Lineage: Eukaryota; Metazoa; Chordata; Lepidosauria; Squamata; Colubridae.
AGGGGCACAGCGAAGUGGUUUCAACCCCUGGAAUGUCCCAAAUGAGCAAUUUGAGUGAGCUGGCCAAGUUGCAAAGAUUGCUAAGAAAGGAGAGGACUCUUGGCAUGUGGGAACAGCCCCCCCCCCCACAAUCCUGUAUUUUAAAAAGGGGGGGGCAUUCACUCCCUCCUCCAGAAGCGUUUGAGCAACUUUGCGGAGAACACGACCCACAUCGCGGCGACAUUAUCCGAUGACAACACCUGAUGGGUUUGGACUGGGUUUAAAAACCCAAACAGGGACCAACCUCCUAGAGGAACAGGAUGGGAGACCACGAAGAGAUCUCUCAGAUAUGGGUUAGAGUUAAAAAUCAGGAAAACAAAUAAAUAAAUAAACCCUAGGCUUAGCUUAGCUAAGGUAAAGAUAAAAGU